AAAAUUGGAACGAUACAGAGAAGAUUAGUAUGGCCCAUAUGCAAGGAUAACACGCAAAUUCAUGAAGCAUUCCAUAUUAAA
RNAcentral lists this small nuclear RNA (81 nucleotides) under Echinops telfairi (small Madagascar hedgehog). The record is from RNAcentral. Lineage: Eukaryota; Metazoa; Chordata; Mammalia; Afrosoricida; Tenrecidae.